AACAGCAAUACAGUCCACACAACAGAU
RNAcentral lists this non-coding RNA (27 nucleotides) under Bombyx mori (domestic silkworm). The record is from RNAcentral. Lineage: Eukaryota; Metazoa; Arthropoda; Insecta; Lepidoptera; Bombycidae.